GUGGCAGACGGGUGAGUAACGCGUGGGAACCUUCCCUAUGGUUCGGAAUAGCUCAGGGAAACCUGGGGUAAUACCGAAUAAGCCCUUCGGGGGAAAGAUUUAUCGCCAUUGGAUGGGCCCGCGUAGGAUUAGCUAGUUGGUGAGGUAAUGGCUCACCAAGGCGACGAUCCUUAGCUGGUCUGAGAGGAUGAUCAGCCACACUGGGACUGAGACACGGCCCAGACUCCUACGGGAGGCAGCAGUGGGGAAUAUUGGACAAUGGGCGAAAGCCUGAUCCAGCCAUGCCGCGUGAGUGACGAAGGCCUUAGGGUUGUAAAGCUCUUUUGGCGGGGAAGAUAAUGACGGUACCCGCAGAAUAAGCUCCGGCUAACUUCGUGCCAGCAGCCGCGGUAAUACGAAGGGAGCUAGCGUUGUUCGGAAUCACUGGGCGUAAAGCGCACGUAGGCGGAUUUGCCAGUCAGGGGUGAAAUCCCGGGGCUCAACCUCGGAACUGCCCUUGAUACAGCAAGUCUUGAGUUCGAGAGAGGUGGGUGGAAUUCCUAGUGUAGAGGUGAAAUUCGUAGAUAUUAGGAAGAACACCGGUGGCGAAGGCGGCCCCACUGGCUCGACACUGACGCUGAGGUGCGAAAGCCUGGGGAGC
Molecule: ribosomal RNA, 640 nt
Filed under: uncultured bacterium
Lineage: Bacteria
Description: bacterial SSU rRNA
Rfam family: Bacterial small subunit ribosomal RNA
Source: RNAcentral